This 399-nucleotide ribosomal RNA is filed under the name uncultured bacterium. RNAcentral's name for it is "bacterial SSU rRNA". It matches the Rfam family "Bacterial small subunit ribosomal RNA", at positions 29 to 408 of the family's 1533-position model. The record is from RNAcentral.
AACGAACGCUGGCGGCGUGCCUAACACAUGCAAGUCGUGCGAGAAAGUUCCUUCGGGAGCGAGUAAAGCGGCGCACGGGUGAGUAACACGUAGGUAACCUGCCCCCCAGUCUGGAACAACUAGAGGAAACUCUAGCUAAUGCCGGAUGAGACCACGAUCCCUUCGGGGGUUGCGGCCAAAGAUGGCCUCUACUUGUAAGCUAUCGCUGAGGGAUGGGCCUGCGGGCCAUUAGCUUGUUGGUGAGGUAACGGCUCACCAAGGCUGUGAUGGCUAGCUGGUCUGAGAGGAUGACCAGCCACACUGGGACUGAGACACGGCCCAGACUCCUACGGGAGGCAGCAGUGGGAAAUAUUGCGCAAAUGGGCGAAAAGGCCUGACGCAGCGACGCCGCGUGGGUGA